AUGUACCCACGUACAUUCCGGUUCCUCCGCGCCGUCCGCACCCACCUGACGACUGCUCGCUACGUUUUGUUAACC
RNAcentral lists this small RNA (75 nucleotides) under Xanthomonas campestris. Its description in RNAcentral is "sRNA sX9". It matches the Rfam family "Xanthomonas sRNA sX9". RNAcentral also lists the same sequence under 3 other names. The record is from RNAcentral. Lineage: Bacteria; Pseudomonadati; Pseudomonadota; Gammaproteobacteria; Lysobacterales; Lysobacteraceae.